AGAGUUUGAUCCUGGCUCAGGAUGAACGCUAGCUACAGGCUUAACACAUGCAAGUCGAGGGGCAGCAUGGUCUUAGCUUGCUAAGGCCGAUGGCGACCGGCGCACGGGUGAGUAACACGUAUCCAACCUGCCGUCUACUCUUGGACAGCCUUCUGAAAGGAAGAUUAAUACAAGAUGGCAUCAUGAGUCCACAUGUUCACAUGAUUAAAGGUAUUCCGGUAGACGAUGGGGAUGCGUUCCAUUAGAUAGUAGGCGGGGUAACGGCCCACCUAGUCUUCGAUGGAUAGGGGUUCUGAGAGGAAGGUCCCCCACAUUGGAACUGAGACACGGUCCAAACUCCUACGGGAGGCAGCAGUGAGGAAUAUUGGUCAAUGGACGAGAGCCUGAACCAGCCAAGUAGCGUGAAGGAUGACUGCCCUAUGGGUUGUAAACUUCUUUUAUAAAGGAAUAAAGUCGGGUAUGCAUACCCGUUUGCAUGUACUUUAUGAAUAAGGAUCGGCUAACUCCGUGCCAGCAGCCGCGGUAAUACGGAGGAUCCGAGCGUUAUCCGGAUU
Molecule: ribosomal RNA, 554 nt
Filed under: uncultured Bacteroides sp.
Lineage: Bacteria; Pseudomonadati; Bacteroidota; Bacteroidia; Bacteroidales; Bacteroidaceae
Description: bacterial SSU rRNA
Rfam family: Bacterial small subunit ribosomal RNA
Source: RNAcentral